CCUACGGGGGGCAGCAGUAAGGAAUAUUGGUCAAUGGGCGAGAGCCUGAACCAGCCACGCCGCGUGCAGGAAGAAGGCCUAUGGGUUGUAAACUGCUUUUACACGGGAAGCGGUACCGUGGGAAUAAGCAUCGGCUAACUCCGUGCCAGCAGCCGCGGUAAUACGGAGGAUGCAAGCGUUAUCCGGAUUCAUUGGGUUUAAAGGGUGCGUAGGCGGACUUAUAAGUCAGGGGUGAAAUCCGGCAGCUCAACUGUCGAACUGCCUCUGAUACUGUGGGUCUUGAGUUAAGUUGAGGCAGGCGGAAUAUGACAUGUAGCGGUGAAAUGCAUAGAUAUGUCAUAGAACACCGAUAGCGAAGGCAGCCUGCCAAACUAACUGACGCUGAUGCACGAAAGCGUGGGUAGCGAACAGGAUUAGAUACCCUUGUAGUC
Molecule: ribosomal RNA, 431 nt
Filed under: uncultured bacterium
Lineage: Bacteria
Description: partial 16S ribosomal RNA
Rfam family: Bacterial small subunit ribosomal RNA
Source: RNAcentral